GUCGUACGAUGAAGCUCGAGCUUGCUGGAGUGAAUUAGUGGCGAACGGGUGAGUAACACGUGAGUAACCUACCCUUGACUCUGGGAUAAGCCUUGGAAACGAGGUCUAAUACCGGAUAGGAGCACUCAUCGCAUGGUGGGUGUUGGAAAGAAUUUCGGUCUUGGAUGGACUCGCGGCCUAUCAGCUUGUUGGUGAGGUAAUGGCUCACCAAGGCGACGACGGGUAGCCGGCCUGAGAGGGUGACCGGCCACACUGGGACUGAGACACGGCCCAGACUCCUACGGGAGGCAGCAGUGGGGAAUAUUGCACAAUGGGCGCAAGCCUGAUGCAGCGACGCCGCGUGAGGGAUGACGGCCUUCGGGUUGUAAACCUCUUUCAGUAGGGAAGAAGCGAAAGUGACGGUACCUGCAGAAGAAGCACCGGCUAACUACGUGCCAGCAGCCGCGGUAAUACGUAGGGUGCGAGCGUUAUCCGGAAUUAUUGGGCGUAAAGAGCUCGUAGGCGGUUUGUCGCGUCUGCCGUGAAAGUCCGGGGCUUAACUCCGGAUCUGCGGUGGGUACGGGCAGACUAGAGUGCAGUAGGGGAGACUGGAAUUCCUGGUGUAGCGGUGGAAUGCGCAGAUAUCAGGAGGAACACCGAUGGCGAAGGCAGGUCUCUGGGCUGUAACUGACGCUGAGGAGCGAAAGCAUGGGGAGCGAACAGGAUUAGAUACCCUGGUAGUCCAUGCCGUAAACGUUGGGCACUAGGUGU
This 750-nucleotide ribosomal RNA is filed under the name Micrococcus sp. MJ314. RNAcentral's name for it is "bacterial SSU rRNA". It matches the Rfam family "Bacterial small subunit ribosomal RNA", at positions 61 to 823 of the family's 1533-position model. Lineage: Bacteria; Bacillati; Actinomycetota; Actinomycetes; Micrococcales; Micrococcaceae. The record is from RNAcentral.